Pelobates cultripes (western spadefoot toad) is the source of this 785-nucleotide non-coding RNA. NCBI's taxonomy places the organism in Eukaryota, Metazoa, Chordata, Amphibia, Anura, Pelobatidae. The record is from the annotation of a GenBank genome assembly.
CUGGGGUUAUAAACCCAAAAGUGCUUUAUCUAAGAUAGACAAUCAGGGUAGAUCCCUCCUUCAAAGAAUGACUUUAAGAAAGCCUGGAGGAAGUACCCCUAUGAAAUUAAUGUUAAAUAUUGAACAUCCUGGCCCCGAGGAUGCAGACCGAUAUGUAAUGGGAAUGUAUUGGAAGAAAGGUUCCUAAAACAAAUUAGGUCAUUUCUACCUCAGAGAUAUGUACCACUCUCCAGAGUGGCAAGGGGCUGAUCAUAUGGUCCCAAAUCCGCUAAAACCACAUAUCCAGUCCUUUAAAGAUAUGAUGGUCAUCGCUAACCCCACUUUUGAAGAUACCAUGGCCGCUGAAACUGGAUUCAAUGACAUUAAUUUGUGGUUAGAAUGGAUGAGGUAUAAUGCUAACAAACAUAAUAAAACAGCAUGUUAUGUAUGUGGCGGUGCCCGACCCCACCUUGGCACCGUCCCGCUAACUCUCCCUUUAGAGAUAGAAGAUUGCUUCUUAAGCCUUUUUUGCCUACCAAUAUGACUUUAAUAGGUCCCUCUGCAUGGCAUGGACGGCAGAAUACCCUCUCUUAGUUGAAAAUGUUAAGCCACCAGAUGGAGUCACAGUCUAUAGAGGUAAUUACACUUGUUAUGCCAUGUAUGACGGGAUUGGUAAAUUCAUGGGUAACUUUUCUAAAGGUUAUUGCCCCACUUACAGAACUGUUCCUAUACGCCUGUUGCAACACCAUACCAGGUCAUUGGGGGAUAUUUACUGGUUAUGUGGGGAUCUACAGUUAAGAUCUAGG